GGUUGAUCCUGCCGGAGAUCACCGUUAUCGGGAUUCGGCUUAGCCAUGCGAGGCGCGAGCUAUUUGGGCUCGCCGAACUGCUCAGUAACACGUAGCUAACAUAACCUCAAGUAGAGGAUAAUCUUGCAAAAGUGAGGCUAAUACUCUAUAGCUGUUGGAUGCUGGAAUGCUUCAACAAUUAAAGCUACGGCGCUUGAGGAUUGGGCUGCGACCUAUCAUGGCUGUUGUGAGUGUAAAGUACUCACAAACCUAUAACGGGUAGGGGUCAUGAAAGUGAGAGCCUCGAGAUGCCUUCUGAGACAUGAAGGCAGGUCCUACGGGACGCAGCAGGUACGAAAACUUUCCAAUUCCUGAAAGGGUGAGAAGGGAAUCCUGAGUGAUUAUGCAAUACAUAAUCUUUUAUCUUGUCUAAAAAGCAAGGUGAAUAAGUGGUGGGUAAGACGGGUGGCAGCCGCCGCGGUAAUACCCGCGCCACAAAUGGUGAUCGCUUUUAUUUGGUCUAAAGGGUCCGUAGCCGGUUCAACAAGUUCUUGGUGAAAUCUGAUAGCUAACUAUCAGGCUUGCUGAGAAUACUAUUGAACUUGGGAUUGGGAAAGGAUAGGGGUAUUCCUUGUGUAGGGGUUAAAUCCUUUAAUCCAUGGAAGACCUCCGGUGGCGAAGGCGCCUAUCUGGAACAAGUCCGACGGUGAGGGACGAAAGCGUGGGGAGCAAACGGGAUUAGAUACAAACAUUCUAAUCCAAUGAUUCAAAGAUGAUUGGGUGUUUGCUAGAAACCCCGAUAGUCCAUGCUGUAAACGAUGCCCGCUUGUUGUUGCAAGCUCUACGAGAGCUUGCAGUGUCGGAGCGUAGGUGUUAAGCGGGCCACCUGGGGAGUACGGCCGCAAGGUUGAAACUUAAGGGAAUUGGCGGGAGAGCACACAAGGGGUGGAGGCUGCGGUUUAAUUGGAKUCAACGCCGGR
This 959-nucleotide ribosomal RNA is filed under the name uncultured archaeon. Its description in RNAcentral is "bacterial SSU rRNA". It matches the Rfam family "Archaeal small subunit ribosomal RNA", at positions 6 to 922 of the family's 1478-position model. The record is from RNAcentral.